GAUGAACGCUAGCGGCAGGCUUAAUACAUGCAAGUCGAGGGGCAGCACGGUUAGCAAUAACUGGUGGCGACCGGCGCACGGGUGCGUAACACGUAUACAAUCUACCUUAAACAGGGGGAUAGCCUUUCGAAAGAGAGAUUAAUACCCCGUAAUAAAUUGAACGGCAUCGUUUGAUUUUGAAAGCUCCGGCGGUUUGAGAUGAGUAUGCGUCUGAUUAGCUAGUUGGUGAGGUAACGGCUCACCAAGGCGACGAUCAGUAGGGGAUCAGAGAGGACUAACCCCCACACUGGUACUGAGACACGGACCAGACUCCUACGGGAGGCAGCAGUAAGGAAUAUUGGUCAAUGGAGGCAACUCUGAACCAGCCAUGCCGCGUGCAGGAUGACGGCCCUAUGGGGUUGUAAACUGCUUUUAUACAAGAGAAAACCCUGGUACGUGUACCAGGUUGAUAGUAUUGUAAGAAUAAGCAUCGGCUAACUUCGUGCCAGCAGCCGCGGUAA
This 500-nucleotide ribosomal RNA is filed under the name uncultured bacterium. RNAcentral describes it as "bacterial SSU rRNA". It matches the Rfam family "Bacterial small subunit ribosomal RNA", at positions 28 to 523 of the family's 1533-position model. The record is from RNAcentral.